RNAcentral lists this ribosomal RNA (429 nucleotides) under Actinomycetes bacterium. RNAcentral's name for it is "Actinobacteria bacterium partial 16S ribosomal RNA". It matches the Rfam family "Bacterial small subunit ribosomal RNA", at positions 355 to 776 of the family's 1533-position model. Lineage: Bacteria; Bacillati; Actinomycetota; Actinomycetes. The record is from RNAcentral.
UAGGGAAUCUUCCGCAAUGGGCGAAAGCUUGACGGAGCAACUCCGCGUGAGUGAUGAAGGUCUUCGGAUCGUAAAACUCUGUUAUUAGGGAAGAACAAAUGUGUAAGUAACUAUGCACGUCUUGACGGUACCUAAUCAGAAAGCCACGGCUAACUACGUGCCAGCAGCCGCGGUAAUACGUAGGUGGCAAGCGUUAUCCGGAAUUAUUGGGCGUAAAGCGCGCGUAGGCGGUUUUUUAAGUCUGAUGUGAAAGCCCACGGCUCAACCGUGGAGGGUCAUUGGAAACUGGAAAACUUGAGUGCAGAAGAGGAAAGUGGAAUUCCAUGUGUAGCGGUGAAAUGCGCAGAGAUAUGGAGGAACACCAGUGGCGAAGGCGACUUUCUGGUCUGUAACUGACGCUGAUGUGCGAAAGCGUGGGGAUCAAACAGG